AAGCUGACGGAGCACGCCGCGUGAGUGAUGAAGGUUUCGGAUCGUAAAACUCUGUUGUUAGGGAAGAACAAGUGCUAGUAACUGAUGGCACCUUGACGGUACCUAACCAGAAAGCCACGGCUAACUACGUGCCAGCAGCCGCGGUAAUACGUAGGUGGCAAGCGUUGUCCGGAAUUAUUGGGCGUAAAGCGCUCGCAGGCGGUUCUUUAAGUCUGAUGUGAAAUCUUACGGCUUAACCGUAAACGUGCAUUGGAAACUGGGGAACUUGAGUGCAGAAGAGGAGAGUGGAAUUCCACGUGUAGCGGUGAAAUGC
This 313-nucleotide ribosomal RNA is filed under the name uncultured bacterium. RNAcentral describes it as "bacterial SSU rRNA". It matches the Rfam family "Bacterial small subunit ribosomal RNA", at positions 380 to 689 of the family's 1533-position model. The record is from RNAcentral.